This 636-nucleotide long non-coding RNA is filed under the name Pan troglodytes (chimpanzee). RNAcentral's name for it is "long non-coding RNA NONPTRT003889". Lineage: Eukaryota; Metazoa; Chordata; Mammalia; Primates; Hominidae. The record is from RNAcentral.
CGGGGGUCCCCCUUGUUGCCUGUAGCCCCAGGGUGAAGGGGCCGCUGGACAAAGACCUGACGGAGUGGGAGGGGCCUGCGGGCCGGCCCUCGGGCUCCGGACGCUGGAUCCUUCUGGGACCCGAACCCGCAAACCUUGGCUCCCCACCCCCAGGCCAGCAGACGCCCCCGAGCCGGCUGCUCGCUUUCGCUGCAGCCCCCGCACCAGAGGGGGCUGCGAGACGGGUGCCCGUCGGCGGCCGGGCGGCUAUCCCCUGCUCUGCCCGCCCCCUCCCCCCGGGAAGUGACCCUCGGCUCCCACGUACCCGCUAGGGUCUCUCGCCAGCCCUGCCCUCCGACCCCCGCCGAGCUGAACCCCGCGACCAGCAGCCCCCGCCCUCUCGGCCCUCUCCGGCCCCGCGCCGGCGGACAAAGCUCCGGACACCCUGACCGAACGGUCACCUCCCCCCGCCCCAUCCCGGCCCGCCCGCGGCCCCGUACCUCGGCAUCACGGCCGGGUCCUAGGUGAGUGUGCGCGGCCUGGGGGCGCGUCCGGCCCGGGGACCGGGGCGGCGGCGCGGGCCGGGGGCGACAGGCCUGGGCUGGGGGGCAGUGGCGCUCACCAUCCUGGAGCCGCUGCUGCUGCGGCUGCUGCGGC